GUUUAUUCCUAAUGGUGAUAGGAGAGGGAUUAUGCCUAAUGAUGGUGUUAGAUGGGAUAAUAUCCCACUCCCUCUUCCAUCACCAUUAGUCGUCACCCCCUCUUUCUCCCAUCACCAUCAAGCAUCACCCCCUCUCUCUCCCAUCAACAUUAGGCAUCACCCUACACCUCUUUCACCACUAUUUGGGAGCCAUAACUCCUUCUAUUUGCCACCACAACUCAGCAUCUUCCUCC
Non-coding RNA from Pelobates cultripes (western spadefoot toad), 233 nucleotides. NCBI's taxonomy places the organism in Eukaryota, Metazoa, Chordata, Amphibia, Anura, Pelobatidae. The record is from the annotation of a GenBank genome assembly.